AUCCCUUGAAAAAGCCCAACAAAAUUUAAAAACAUAGCCCAAACGUAACCAACAAACACAGAGCUCUUAUCACUCUUUCGUUGAAAGCCUGAAACUGAGAAAUCUCACAGAGCGCAUGGAGAUCUCAUAGAGCUCGACGAUCAUCGAUUAGGUACGAUCGCACAGCUCUGAUUAGGUACGAUCUCGGUUUUGUGACUCUUCCUCUCUCUUGGCGGCGUUGUGUUUCUCAGCUCCGGUCAGGCUUUUUGGACGCUGAUCUCAAAGGGUGCUAGAUUUGGUUCCAAUCCUGUUCUUUCAACCUGCCUCUGCAUUUUCUUCCCAAACGUGAUUUUAAAUAUAGCAAAAAGGUAACAAUUCUCCUUUAUUUAUUUAUUUUGGGUUAAGUAAAAAGUGCAACAGCAAAGCUAUAUAAAUAGCAUGCCUUUUUAUCAAUUUUAUUUAUUUAUUUAUUUUUUUCUGUUGUAUGGUGAGUCUGCUUGCUUUUAUGUGCAUAAGACAGUUGUAUACCUGACAUGAUAGUGGAUAGUCUUGAUAAACUAUUGUUCUCACUUUUCAUUAAUUGUAAAUUUACUAGAGAGAUUGCUAUGUGCUAUUGCUAUGGUUGAGAAUUAAUUGCCUCUGUUAUGUCAUUAGUUGCAAAAUGCUUUAUUUGGUUUGAUGCAUAAUUGAAUUGAAUUUGAAUGUGAUGUGGUGCAUUUUGUGAGAUUGAAUUGAAUGUGAUGUUGUAGAAAGGAUAAACUUGCUCGAAAUUGGUGGUUUAUUCUUUAUUGCUUCUUGUGUAAUUUGAUGUCACUUGAUAUAGUUUAUAUCAAUAGUGGAGGGACUGCAUACACAAGAAUUAUGAGAAAAGGAACUUUAUGUGGAGAACUCUUCAAGGAGAAGGGAAAACCCACCAUGAGAGUUGAGAAGUUGUUGAUUAGAAUGAGUUUUAGAUACUUUCUAUUAUCAAGCUUAAUCUUCACUCUGACAGAACCUCAGUGUCCACUUGGCUUUCUUCGUUAAAAAAAGACCAUUUGACUCCCCCCUGCCCCCUUUCCUCUUUUAUUUCUUGAGGGAGAGCUAUCUAUGUAGGCUUUGGCACAUCAUAUAUCCAUUUCUGUUUGGUGAGCUCUAGAGAAUUGGUGCAUACACUGAAUCACUUAUUCCUGUCCUAGUGAGUCUUCUAUAUUGUGUCAUUAUUUUUGUUAUGAAGUUUGCCACCCAAGCGUAACUUGUAAUUGUGGAAGUUGACAUUUACUAUCUAUGCAUGGCAUGCAGCACAUGCGGCUUUUUGGUGCACUUCUAUUUUAUUGCCAACAAUGUUUGAGUUUGUUCAUACCAUUACAGUGAUAUGCACCAAGGUUUACUUGUUAGGUUUACAGAGUAUCACUAUGAUAGAAGUUACUUGUCACCUUUCUUUGCUAAAAUCACCAUUAAUGUGAUAUCUGCCAAGGUUAACCUGUCAGGUUUCCAUAACAUGGUCACUUCUUAAUGAUUGAAUCAGCUCAGCUAUUGAGGCUAACAUUAUGUCAUACCUGCCUCUCCUUCAAAUUAGCUGUCGUGUCUAAUCGGAAGUAUUACUUUCAAGUUCCAAACUUUUCUUAGUCUUAGGUGGCAACCAGGGACGGCAAUAACUGAUUUACUUUUUUCUAUUCAAUGUAUAUAUUGCUUUUAUCAUAAUCUAGAGGCCUAGGGAGAAAUUAUGGAAUGCUAGACCCUAACAUUACAGUUUGUUAGAAAUUAUGGAAUGCCUGACUUUAUACGUUAAACUAGUUGAUACUUUUUAUUAGAUUGUUUCUAGUUCCUCUUGUAUCAUAUCCUUAGAGCUUAAGAUCAUUAAGUACUUUGAAUGAGGGGGCAUUGAAAAUAUCUCAAGAUUAAAUGUCUGUGGAGGUGUUUGGACCUGAGCGUCAUGGACGAGUUCGUGGCUAUGGGGCUGGAGUCACUCCUACCAAGUUAUGGGGUUCCUCCUCAUCUAGAAUGUAUGAUCUUGAGAAGCGACUCCAAGAAUCUGAACAGAAACGCUUAGAAUCUGAACAAAAACGAAUAGAGGCUGAUGCAGAGUUGAAAUAAGAAGUAAAGCACCUCAAAAGCAUGCUCGAACAACAAGCUAUUCAAAUGACAGAACAAAGAAGACAUUUUGAGGAACAACAAGCUAGUCAAAUGGCAGCACAAAGAGCACAUUAUGACAAUAUGAUGAUGCAAAUGUUGAGUUGUAUUACCUCGCAAUCAGCCCAAUCUAGUAGUGAUCACUAAGCAAUUUGCAAGCUAAUGAGCAAUGUGACAUGCUCCAUUCCUGAGUUUACUUGUGUUUCAUCUGCAAAGGUGGCUUUGCUGUUAAUUUGGGUUGCUGAUAUAAGGAAACAUGUGAAGAAUUUAGAAUUUGGGAAGGGACACGUAUAUAAAGCUGUGCAUGUAACCGAUUUUUAUUUCCUUUCAUCACCUUUGGCCUUAUAUAGGAUGUAUUAGGAUUUGUUCUAUUCACCUACCACCAUGUCAGAUUGUGCAAAGAACCUUGUUUUUACAAUUUAAAACUCUUGCCCUUGUUGACUAUUGAAUUAGAUCAUAUAAAUAUUGCUCGGGUUAAUCUGA
Molecule: long non-coding RNA, 2571 nt
Organism: Quercus lobata
Lineage: Eukaryota; Viridiplantae; Streptophyta; Magnoliopsida; Fagales; Fagaceae
Exons: 5
Source: RefSeq, a predicted model, not a curated record